RNAcentral lists this ribosomal RNA (658 nucleotides) under Escherichia coli. RNAcentral's name for it is "bacterial SSU rRNA". It matches the Rfam family "Bacterial small subunit ribosomal RNA", at positions 1 to 646 of the family's 1533-position model. The record is from RNAcentral. Lineage: Bacteria; Pseudomonadati; Pseudomonadota; Gammaproteobacteria; Enterobacterales; Enterobacteriaceae.
UUAAAUUGAAGAGUUUGAUCAUGGCUCAGAUUGAACGCUGGCGGCAGGCCUAACACAUGCAAGUCGAACGGUAACAGGAAGCAGCUUGCUGCUUCGCUGACGAGUGGCGGACGGGUGAGUAAUGUCUGGGAAACUGCCUGAUGGAGGGGGAUAACUACUGGAAACGGUAGCUAAUACCGCAUAAUGUCGCAAGACCAAAGAGGGGGACCUUCGGGCCUCUUGCCAUCGGAUGUGCCCAGAUGGGAUUAGCUUGUUGGUGGGGUAACGGCUCACCAAGGCGACGAUCCCUAGCUGGUCUGAGAGGAUGACCAGCCACACUGGAACUGAGACACGGUCCAGACUCCUACGGGAGGCAGCAGUGGGGAAUAUUGCACAAUGGGCGCAAGCCUGAUGCAGCCAUGCCGCGUGUAUGAAGAAGGCCUUCGGGUUGUAAAGUACUUUCAGCGGGGAGGAAGGGAGUAAAGUUAAUACCUUUGCUCAUUGACGUUACCCGCAGAAGAAGCACCGGCUAACUCCGUGCCAGCAGCCGCGGUAAUACGGAGGGUGCAAGCGUUAAUCGGAAUUACUGGGCGUAAAGCGCACGCAGGCGGUUUGUUAAGUCAGAUGUGAAAUCCCCGGGCUCAACCUGGGAACUGCAUCUGAUACUGGCAAGCUUGAG